UAGUCACAGAAAAAUGUGACUAAGAACUAUGCAGCGAUGAAGAGGGCAAAGGAUAAAGGAUUUACUAGUGAGAUAGAUAAUAAUGUGAAACGUCUUAAAGUCAUCGGAAGCCUUCGAUUAGUCUGCAUCAAGGAAUCGUAUAAAGGAAAAUUGCGCUUACCAAACGGUGACUCGGUUGCCCGUUUUAUGUUCCUCCUGGGGGAUCCCGCUAUCCGAUUCUUGGCGAUCGAGCCUCGCGCAGCGUAGCUCACGGCGACACGUUUAUUGAAAUGAUUAAACUAAAACGGCCACGACCCCGGACGAAAGCGAGGCUUCAUGAAGAGGCAAAAGGGAGUGGGAGAAAAGUGGUGAGUCGAAACGAACGCGCUAUCUAACUAUCCGGAUUACGAAGCCGCAUGAUGAUGAUGUUGUUCAUCUACGAUCUACACCGCGACUUGCGAGGCCAAAAUCGCGGCGGAACCCUCGAGCCGCGACAUCGACUAGCAGCGGGGAUACAGCGGCGUUUAAGGGAUCGGGAGAUCGGGGGAAUAUGGCCAGCCUCCCCCAAGUGCGCAGGAUUCGAUCGAUGGUCCACGAGAAAGAGAGACGUAUCAUCAUUUCGCGCGUCUCUCGUGCUGUAUAUCCGCGCACCCCGUUUUCGGAGGAAGCAGGGGGUGGAUAAGUCGCGCGUCUCUUAAACCGCGUAAAUCCAGAUCCAGAUCCGGACGUGGCGAUGUACGAAACACGCGAAAACAAAAUUAAAUAAUAAUCACAUUCUUUUUUUUUUAAGUCAAACACGGAGCAUUUUAUGAUCAUGUUUAGGUGUGUAUUGUGUCAGAAAAUGAUCAAUAUUACAGCUGAAGGAAAUUUUAAGAAAAGGUAUAAAUUGUAUUGGCUUAGGACAAAGAAAUUUUGUUAAAAUAAAAUAACAAUCGAAGUUUCAAUAAAUAAAGAAACCAACUUA
Long non-coding RNA from Ooceraea biroi (clonal raider ant), 943 nucleotides. RefSeq lists it as uncharacterized. The record is from RefSeq and is a predicted model, not a curated record. NCBI's taxonomy places the organism in Eukaryota, Metazoa, Arthropoda, Insecta, Hymenoptera, Formicidae.